GGGCCCGCACAAGCGGUGGAGUAUGUGGUUUAAUUCGAUGCAACGCGAAGAACCUUACCAGGGUUUGACAUCCUGCGAAUCUCUUGGAAACGAGAGAGUGCCUUCGGGAACGCAGUGACAGGUGGUGCAUGGCUGUCGUCAGCUCGUGUCGUGAGAUGUUGGGUUAAGUCCCGCAACGAGCGCAACCCACGUCGUUAGUUGCCAGCAUUUAGUUGGGCACUCUAGCGAGACCGCCGGUGAUAAACCGGAGGAAGGUGUGGAUGACGUCAAGUCAUCAUGCCCCUUACAUCCUGGGCUACACACGUACUACAAUGCUACGGACAAAGGGCAGCAAGUUCGCGAGGACAAGCAAAUCCCAUAAACCGUGGCUCAGUUCAGAUCGUAGGCUGCAACUCGCCUACGUG
RNAcentral lists this ribosomal RNA (404 nucleotides) under uncultured bacterium. RNAcentral describes it as "bacterial SSU rRNA". It matches the Rfam family "Bacterial small subunit ribosomal RNA", at positions 917 to 1322 of the family's 1533-position model. The record is from RNAcentral.